ACUCGCCACGCACGUAAGCUCCUCUCCCGCGGUCCAAAGGAAGCACUUAAGGAAAGGAAAUCCAGCACAAUGCUAAACCUGCCCUUCUGUCGUUUUUUGUUGGUUUUUUUUUCCUUUUUAUUUAACCGCUGGGUUUGUUCCCAGCUCUGCAGGGAGACGCUGUGCAUGCUGCCACUGCAAAAAAGAGGGCAGAAUAUUUCCCGAGCGCCGUCCUACAACUCACGCCUCCGUAGGUUGGGAAUGGUGAGACGUCCUCAUGUCACCCACCCAGGACAGGAAAGCCACCACUCUGCACUCCUGGCGUUGGACUGUGAGCACACAGCAUCAACACUUAUUACGACUGCUGUCUGGAGGAGACGCGGCACCCAGCGAGAUUAAUUAAAUAAGCACUAUUCUGCUUUCCCUAUCUUCUUAUCAUCUAUGCAUGCAGAACAAUUUUCUGGAAAGCAAAGAGCUACGGUGUCACAUACCAGAAAAACAGCUUCCUCUUUUGAAGGAAAGCACAGUGAUAAUGCUGAUGAAGCACUGAAGAUUCCUGCACUCCAGCAGAUCAGCUAGCAUUUUCUGUGAGAGCUGCUCCCAUGAAAAAAACCAACAUACCUUGCCAUGCUCACAGAGCUGGGAAGAGAUUUCUUUCCAUUAUGUUUAGUAAGAUACCAUCUGAGCACUAAAAAUGAAAAGUAUAUAAACUUACCACUGCAUUAUCAGGAAAAGCAUCAGAAAUCAAGCUUAGGUGUUGCUGAGCAGUCAGCACCUCAGCUCCUUCCUGGCACAAAAUCCAUGCAGCAUGCAGCAGGUACCAGAAGCACCUCUCCUGUGCUAGUCCUACCCGUAUGCUCACAGAUGUCUUCUGAAUCUGCUACCAACAAAAGAAACCACAAUAAGACCGUUUCCCUGAUUCUUCAUAACUGAGUCAGUAGGUCAACAAUUCCUUCGUUUUAGGAGCCAAACCAAUUCCCUUAAACACCCCCUGUUUUUUUCUCCCUGAUGGAGAAGCCAACUGUCUGCUGCCAGUGGCAGCUCAGCUGCUCGCAGAACAGAACCAAGCUCCAACAAACCAGCUUGCCCUGGCGCAGACGUUCAUCCUGACACAGCUCCAUUUUGUCUCUCACGUCUGGGAGAAGCCACGAGCAAUUACUUACGUUUUCAAAUCGAGCCACAGGCAGGGAAGUGCUCCGCGUGCACCUUGCAUGCUGCCACCAGCUCCUGCAGCCCACAUCCUCACUGCCCAUGGCAGCACACGGUGGCACGAGGAAGGGAGCAUCACCAAAUGCCAGACCUGCUCCCGCUCCAUCCUUCUCCACACCAACACAGAAUAUCCUGCCCGUGCCUCUCAUGCGCUCAGCUCAAACAAAGAGAAAGCUCGGAAGCUGCUCUCCUUCUUCCCAAUCCAUGACUCAAAUGUCUGGUUGAAAUUGGUUUCGUAAUAACCCUUUAGUACCACCUACUCACAUCACCAAGUGCUUCUUUCAGCAAACGCGCAGGAAAUCACCAACGAGUGCCAAUGGAUCUACUAUUCCAAGAACUCGCUCUUUCGGUUAUUCCUCCAUCAUUUGGGAACCAAGACACUUUUACUUUCCCUAUCACACCGGGUAUUUUUUUUUUUAUAGAAGAGCCUUAAACUGCGAUCCCAUAAAAUACUUGGUUGAUAAAUCACCAGCUGAAAACUCGCCCACUGUAAAGAAAAGAAUUUCACAACACUCAUUCCAGAAAACACAGUAACUCCUUUCUGGAAAUAAUUCACCGGACAAAAAUCAAAAGGGCAGAAUUAAUGUUCGGAGACCGUUUGCAUCCUGCACAGCAGACAAAGACGGUGCAGCGAGCCACGUGCCUCUGUGACUGUCACCAGCAGACCCCUGAAUCACCCAACCACACGAUGAGUCGCUGUGAAUGGUUUCCUCUUCCUCUGCACUCCCCCAGCGGGGCUCGGCGCUGCUGGAGGAUCCUGAGCCUAAUCCUGACUUUGAUGGGGAUUCCAAAACUCAUCUCCUAAGGCUGCAGUCACCAGCGGACGCCGCAGACAUCUGCUCCUCCUGCUUUGAGUCACCUGUCAGCAGUACAAAAGGAAAUUGCUCAGCGGUGAGCACGUGGAAGCCCAGUGCUAAAGUGCAGAAAUACAAAAUACCGGAGUGCUCACAUCACCCUCAAGGAAAAGUACUUGGUUCUGAAGCACUGAUAUUCAAAGAGGUGAAACUUGGUAAUAAUGAAUAGGCGCCAGCAAGCCUUACAGCUCAGCCUGCAGUGCCAGCGUCGUUGAGGCAGCAAUGGAAGGGGGAACAAAAUAAAAGAAGACAUUUCACAAACACUGGACCUGCACUGUGCGUGACAAGAAAAAUAAUUGAAACAACUGAGAGAACUAAUCUGUGGCUGCUUAGGAAGUUAACUCUUCGAAGGAAAUGAUUAAGUAAGAGAACAAAAGCCAAGUGUUAUGUUUAUCAAACAAGGAAACCUCACAAAUGAGCAUGCCUGCUCGUGGCAGCGGGGUCACAGCACUGACAGACCGCACAGGAGCGGCUCCCACCACGCUACCAUCCCUGAGGUUAGUAAGCAGCUCCUAUCUCAAGGAAAUACACUUUUUAAGAAAUGCAAAGCAUUGCUUUGCCAGAACGAAAUGCUACAGGAAGGCAUCCGCAACGUCCUGUGCCUUUAUGAAAUUCCCUUUACGCAAUUCCUGCUCAGCAUAAAACUCACUACGAUUUCAGCAAGGAACCCCGGUUAAGCAGGACAGUAUUUACAAAUUCAGGCCAGAAAAGCUCGCUUUUGUGUCGUUCCAUCACAAAUACAGCGCUCACAAAUUCAGCCGUCCAAAACAAGACUCCAACUUUGCAAAAAACAAAACAAAACAAACAGGUGAGUAAAAAAAGCAAUUAGAGCACAUCGCGCUUCGAAUCUUCAGGAAUUUGAUAAAAGGAAAUUCAUUCUAAAGAUUUAAUUGUCUAACCUGCUUCUCCAUGCUGAAGGAGCCAGACCUGGUGCCUCUAGAGGGAGGGCGAGAGGCACUUCUUGUUCCUGUUUCAUAUCUGAGUUCUUCCCUGCGCGGGAGAUGAUCUAAUUAUUCAACACGUCAGUAUAUCGCUUCACCCCUUCUUGCACGUCUACUGACAUUAACAUAUUUUAACAAUUCAGCUCAUUAGGAAGGAGGGGAGGCACUGAAUGACAAAUCGUCCUUACAAAUCCACCACAAAGGCACGAGCCUUCCUGCGUUUUGUCCCGCACUUAGCUCAAACUCUAUGGGAGCACACGACAAACGAUGCUGGAUGCAAGCUGGCAACAAAGAUCAGGCAACACAGCCCCUGUGCUGCUGGUCAGAAUUACACAUACUUGUUCAAAACAUGAGCCCCAUCCAUGAGCUCUGGCCAGAGUAAGCAAGCUCUUGCCCGCUUAGGAAGCACAGACCUCCUGGAGCCCAUCUUCCCAUUGUAUUCCCAUUGUUCCCAAGCUCGGUGCUCAGCAGGGACUGCCAGGGAGAGGGGCUGUCACACCUCGCCUAGAAUUGGGCAUAGGCAAUGAAAGCAAGGGAUCAGACCACACAAGGCUGCUGCUGACAGACUUGAAACGGAUCUGAAACAAUGCUGAAAUCCAAAUAUAACAUGCAUGGCACCUGCAUUUGCAUGUGUGGGAUGCUGAAGGAUUCCAAGGCUUUUUAUCAAAUGUCCUUGUUACAGCAAAAGCAGAGAGUCACUGGAUUCUCAGCUCCUUCUGCAUGCAAUGAUUUCAGAGAUGAUGUUCUUCUCUUUCAGACCUCGCCUCGACCUACAACAACACAUCCACUCACGACUGGCUGAAGCAGACUUCACAGCAUAUACUAAACCUACCAGUACAUAGGAAAGUUCUUCAGCGAGUUUCUAUAUAUCAACAUUUUUUUGUUUUUUAUUACAACUAUUUCUAUGAGCCCAUUCACAGUCGGCUCCUUUACUGCAAUCGAACAUGAUGGAUUGGUAGCCAGCUAAUGCUUAUGUAAGGCCUUCAAGGAAGCAGAAAAUUAUUUCAUAUAAAAUCAAGCCUGUAUAGCAAUGGAAUUGUACUACUACAUAUUAAAUAUUAUUAAUAAGAGACCUGCCUUGCAGUCAAAUGCUACAUCCCAUUAGUAUAGCCAAAUAAUUCCUGCCAUAAAAGCUAACUCUUCUCAGUCAAAAGAAUGAUGAUAGCUAAGAAGCACCUGCUUUUUUGAUUUAAAAACACCACACUUCCUAAUAAAAACAAACAUAAAGAGGCAGGAAGAGUAUAUCUUUAUGAUUUGCCUAAGUCCGAUUUAACUUUGGUCAAAAAUAAAAAUAAAGAAAACAAUUUUCAAGCGUGUGACGUAAA
Molecule: long non-coding RNA, 4308 nt
Organism: Tympanuchus pallidicinctus (lesser prairie-chicken)
Lineage: Eukaryota; Metazoa; Chordata; Aves; Galliformes; Phasianidae
Exons: 2
Source: RefSeq, a predicted model, not a curated record